AGGAAAAAACUCCUCUUAUACUCUCUGAAUUCUGAGUGAAACGAAUGCAGAACUUGGAAUUCAUGGCCAAAUCAAAGUAAGCCGUGGAUUAAUUGGGUUGAUCGAUUGGAGAAAGUAACAAAGGAAAUGGAUCCAAUUAGCUGUUGCUCUUGCCGACGACAGGAAGCUUGCUUUGGCUCUUUUUGUAUUGUCUCAUUUGUAUCGAGGUUGGCGAGAUUUAGUUAUAAAAAGAUUUGGUCGUGCAGGG
Molecule: long non-coding RNA, 247 nt
Filed under: Capsicum annuum
Lineage: Eukaryota; Viridiplantae; Streptophyta; Magnoliopsida; Solanales; Solanaceae
Description: long non-coding RNA (CANN_LNC004727)
Source: RNAcentral